UGCCCGCCCCAGGCCCACUGCCCACCCUCCUUCUCCCACGCAGUACCCGCUGAUGCUGAAGUUGAUCUGCACCCAGGUUCUGCGAACCAAUCUCUGGCAUGCCUCUCUGCAAUCCCAGCCCUGCAGUUGCUAUCCCAGUCCUACAGUGAUUUCAGCUCCAGCUCCACGUCUUCCUACCACCAACAGCCAUUGGAGAAAACAGAAGAGGCAUCGUGUAGCACAGCGAGGCCAGAGUGAGUGAGCAGAGGAGUGGCCUCAGGCUGGAGAGGGGCAAGAGAAAGGCAAUGUGGGCAAAGGGACCUCCCUGUUUUCACCAGCUUCCUCCUGUAGAUAAAGAUUUACAUGUGGAUUCUGAGAACAUUUAAAACAUCAGAAGAGAAACCUCACCCAAACCCAGCAGUCUGUCCCCCAGUCAGAGAGCAGAAGUCACU
Molecule: long non-coding RNA, 431 nt
Organism: Neopelma chrysocephalum (saffron-crested tyrant-manakin)
Lineage: Eukaryota; Metazoa; Chordata; Aves; Passeriformes; Pipridae
Exons: 3
Source: RefSeq, a predicted model, not a curated record